AGAUUGAACGCUGGCGGCAUGCCUAACACAUGCAAGUCGAACGGGAGUAGCAAUACUCUAGUGGCGGACGGGUGAGGAAUACGUAGGAAUUUGCCCUUAAGUGGGGGAUAACCCGGGGAACCCGGAUUAAUACCGCAUGACCUCGAAAGAGCAAAGUGGGGGAUCGCAAGACCUCACGCUUUUGGAGAAGCCUACGUCGGAUUAGCUAGUUGGUGAGGUAAUGGCUCACCAAGGCGACGAUCCGUAACUGGUCUGAGAGGAUGAUCAGUCACACCGGAACUGAGACACGGUCCGGACUCCUACGGGAGCAGCAGUGGGGAAUAUUGGACAAUGGGCGCAAGCCUGAUCCAGCAAUGCCGCGUGUGUGA
RNAcentral lists this ribosomal RNA (368 nucleotides) under uncultured soil bacterium. RNAcentral's name for it is "bacterial SSU rRNA". It matches the Rfam family "Bacterial small subunit ribosomal RNA", at positions 26 to 408 of the family's 1533-position model. The record is from RNAcentral.